CACAGAGACAUAAAAUAGGAAGAUGGAAGAUGGGGAAAGGGAGAAAAGGAAGAUUUCAAGAUAAUAAAUUAUCUGAGUUUGGUGUAAGAACAAAGGCAUCUCAUGUGUCUCGAGAAAUGAGUGAAAGUCAUGACCCAGUUCUUCCUCCUACUUUAACAAAAUGUGACUGAAGAGGAAGCCAGAUGUGUUCUAGGACAGACCAGCUGACUAACUCUUACUGUCAACAUACACUGUGCAAUUCCAAGACACAAGGGCAACUGAUAAAGAAGAUUAGCUUGGUUUUCCAGAAAUAAGUUCUGCUCUGUUCAAUCUCCUUGCUCAAUCUCCAUUCUCUCAUUCAUGUGGAAUAACAAGAUCUGCAAUAAACACCACCAGGUUGAAAAGUCAGGUUCUGGAAUUGGCUGUCUGGAUUAAAAUACUGGUUCCAUCACUGAGAAGCUGUGUGACCUUGCGAAAAUUACUUAAUCUCUUUGUGUUUCAGUUUUCUGAUCUGUAAAAUGAAGUCAAUAAUGGUGAGAAAAUGAGAAAAAUGCAUGCAAGCUUAGCAUAUUAUUAGAGUGAUAAAUGCUAACAAUUAUAAAUCAUGUCAGGGCCUCUACAUUAUUUUAGCAUUUACUUUCCUCUGACUAUCUGUACAUUACUGGAUAAAAAUAUUUUAUUGAUCACCAGAUAUUAAACUCCUGUGAAUUUCUGUGUGUUGAUGGUGAAGUUGGUGGGAGGAUGGUGAUGAGACUUACUUGAAGACAGGAAUGUAUGUGAGUUGACCAUGUCAGUAAGCUGAGAUACUGUCAAUUUCUGAAGGAUUCCUCUGGCUGAGUCUACACAGUUAAGAAGUAUUAUAUAUUUCUUGAUGUCUUUCCUAAUGUCUAACUGAAAUUCUCUAAUUGUCUCAUGUUUUAUUCCUCAUUUAUGGAGAUGCUGGACAGCAUUAAAAAAUAUUGAAACGUGAAUACUUGAAAACAAUUACUGUAUCAUUUGUCAAUUCUUUUAAAAAAUAUCAAAAACCCAGUUUAUUUGGCCUUUUGUUCUAGACUUCAAUUCUACUUCUUUGGACCCCUUCUCCCUGAGGCUGAUAGGGCAGCUGGCCCCUGUGUGGGUGUUGAUGAAACCCAGACCAGUACAUAGUACUCAGUUGGGCAUAGUACAUUCUAGGCGCUAAGACAGGCAGCCCCUUUUCUGAGGCCUCCCUUGGCCAGAUAUGAUUAAAUAUUUAUCAAACUAAGGACUCAGCUUACUUGGAGUGAAAACUCUUCAGGGCCUCUCAGAGAUACCUAAGAUAAGUACCUUAUUUUAGUAGCUCUCAAAUAAAGCUUCUUUUAUGCUCUGUCUUUUUCAUAUAUAAAAUAAGGUCUAAUUAGAAAGUUUUAUAAUGGAGGCAGUCAAUUCCCCAAUUCCUUAUUUGUUUGAAUUAACUUUUAAAAAAUUGGGGUGUUCACUCUGGCGUUGGCUCAAUCCAGACUCUGUAAUCAGCCAACAAUCUGUGCUUCACAAAGGCUGGCGUCCUAACUGCCAGCUUCUGCCAUCCGCACCUUUUCCGUGGGGUAAUACAUUUUAAUUGGUACUUCUCUGAGAGCCCUACACAUCUCCAUCUGGCCAAAUAAACAUACUUUUACUAUUCAGCCUCAACAUCUUGGCAGUUAACAAGAGGACAGACUUGCCACAAUGGGUAAUCUUUAAGAUGCAUAAAAUCCUAAAAUUAAAGGACCAGGUACAGGUGGUAUAAUCAAUGGCUGCCUAGAAGAUGGCUCAUCUACAAAGUGGCUUUGUGUUCCACAGUCUUUUUAACACUGCUCUUGUGAUCCUAAAUGCAGUUCCUGAGCCGAGUCAGCAUUGAGAGCUCUCUCCUCUCAAAGGGCACAUUAGUGAUGAAAUAUUUCACUUCCAAUGACAGCAUAACUUUUUGGAUAUAGGCUUAUUAGCAACGUGUUUCCACUGGUUGGAUUGAGCAAGUGUAACCAGAAGGCAGAAUGGUGAAAUGGUUAAGAGCAUGGGUUCUAGAGUCAGGCUGCGUUCAAAUUCUGCUGCUGUUAAUUUAUCUUUGUGACCUUGGGCAGUUACCAUACCUCUCUGUGCCUCAGUUUCCUCAUCAGUAAAGCAGAGAUAAUGUCAGUAUUUUCCUCAUAAGAGUAUUGCAAGGACUGAUUAAAUGAGAUAAGGUGUCUGAUAUGUUUAGCACAGGGCAUGACUUGUAUUUGCUAACAAUUAUUUUUAGGCAAGGUCAGUAGACCAAAUAACUUGAGCAGCAGAAAGGAAGUGGAAGGCGAAUAACCAGCUAUGAGGUUAUUUCUCAGAUAAUUUCUUCCUAUUUCAAUGCUUCACUUUUUACAGUUUAAUCAUCAAGCAACAGUGUUAGGGAUUACGUGAGAUAAUAUGGUCUGUGUGCUGAUUCACUCAUUUAGUGUGGUCUCAUUUCCUUAAAGAACACAUCUUGAGAGAACACUUUUUUUCUCUCUAACCCUCAGGGUCAUCUGGAUGAAAUGAAUACUUUUAGGGCAAAAUGGCUGAUACUGCUUCCUUGAUAACCACAUAUAGAAAACUGACAACUGUUUAGAACAAAGCCAAAGAUGAAACCAAAUAUAAAACCACUGAUGAAAACUAAGUGAAAAAUAUAAGCAAAAUAGAAGAAAAAUAAGGUCGUUAUUUCAAGAAAACGAAAGACAGUCAAUGCUGUUCUUUGUAUUCACAUACAAUUUGGUUCACACCAAAAUGUGAGUUGUUCUCUAUGAGAUGUUAUUAAAUGUUCCUAAGAAGACUCGCUUUAGAAAAAAACAGUAUUCCUAAGGCAUGUCCAAUCUGUCUCUUUUCUUAAUUGCUAUAGUUCUACUUUAUUAUUAUAAUGUAUUCAGCAUUAAAAUUCAUUAUUUCCCAAUAAGCUUGACUUUAUCUUAUAAUGAAAUACAACUGUCUUCUUGGUGAUUUUUAUAGGAGAUAUUAUGGAAAUAUUUUAUUAACAGAAGUAAAUAAAGUGUCAUAUCAUUUGGCUUUUCAGCCGUGUUAUAACAUUUGCAUUUUGUUUUUUCUGCCUUUACCCUCCCUGCUUCUAGCUGCAUAAAAUAAUGCAUUUUAAAAAUAAAAAUACAUUAUUUUUCAACAUAUGUGUGACAAUAAAAAGAUCACUGGGUCAGGGGUCAGACGAUCUGAGUUCUGCCCUUUCAUUUUCUUAUCUGUAAAAAUGAUUCCUAAGAUUCCUUCUAUUACUAACAUUUUAUAAUCUACAUUCAAAUUUUAUGUGAAAGUUUAGUGCAUCCGAGAUAACUAUUUUCAAAUAAGAAUCUCUUUUGAUGCUAACAUCUAUGCAUCAAAUUCUUCAUUCUCAAGUUGUAAGUUGCUCUUUACAUAAUUUCACCUAUGUACAUAUAUUCUAUAGAAAAAAGAGACAUUCCAGUAUCUUAACAAUGUCAAAAAGGAUAUACUGACACUAACAUUAACUGGAGAUUGGAAGACUAGACAAAUCAAGGCUAGAACUACAUAAGGGAAGCUAUUCUCCCAAAUACGCUGUUUUUGCUGUUGUUUAACCAAAGAUAUCUUCCCUUUCAUUCUUCUUUUUUAAAGCUAAGGAUAUUUAAGACAUUAAUAUGUUUGGCUAACUGAUUAAUAAUUCCUUCUUUUAUAAGGAAAC
This 3619-nucleotide long non-coding RNA is filed under the name Homo sapiens (human). RNAcentral's name for it is "HSALNT0315662". Lineage: Eukaryota; Metazoa; Chordata; Mammalia; Primates; Hominidae. The record is from RNAcentral.